This is a small nucleolar RNA of Pseudoliparis swirei, 127 nucleotides long. RefSeq annotates it as small nucleolar RNA SNORD22. The transcript has a single exon. The record is from RefSeq and is a predicted model, not a curated record. NCBI's taxonomy places the organism in Eukaryota, Metazoa, Chordata, Actinopteri, Perciformes, Liparidae.
UUUCCUUGAUGACAUCCGCACACGUCUUACGCCUUGGUUCAAUGCCAGAACCUGAAAAGGUGGACCCACUGGUGUUGCCUUGGCAAUAAGGGGACACAUGUUGGGGUUCCAACAGUCUGAAUGGAAG